RNAcentral lists this small RNA (123 nucleotides) under Sinorhizobium meliloti 2011. Its description in RNAcentral is "putative ncRNA". Lineage: Bacteria; Pseudomonadati; Pseudomonadota; Alphaproteobacteria; Hyphomicrobiales; Rhizobiaceae. The record is from RNAcentral.
AUAGGUGACGUGAUCCGCGCCAUAGACGUGACGAAGCAGCCGGAACAGGACGUCGAAGACGAUGAUCGGCCGUGCAUUGCCGAUAUGGGCGUAGUCGUAGACCGUCGGGCCGCAGACAUACAU